AACCCAUGUUCAGAACAUUUCCGCAGGAGCUCCACGAACCUAUCCCAUGUCUCAAAUAGAGACUCCAAGUCCAUUUAUACAAAGGAGGAUAUCUUAUUCCUGAGCUU
Molecule: small nucleolar RNA, 107 nt
Organism: Dioscorea cayenensis subsp. rotundata (Guinea yam)
Lineage: Eukaryota; Viridiplantae; Streptophyta; Magnoliopsida; Dioscoreales; Dioscoreaceae
Source: RefSeq, a predicted model, not a curated record